CUGCUAAGCUGCUGGGUUGGCAGUGCUAUUUGGCCUACUGAUAUUGGGCCUGCUCAUUGGGCUAUUUUUUUCUGCUGCUCUUCUUUUUUUUUGGGUUUGUUGUUUUUUUUGGGGGGGUUGCUGUUGCGGGCCUACUGGGUCGGGUCGGUCAAUCGGGUUGGGUCGGUUUGACCCGUCUAUUUUAGAUUUUUUAUUUUUUUCUUUCCUUUUCUUCUUUCUUCUUCUUUCUUUCUUUCUUAUUCCAUUUUUCUUCCUUCCCCGUUCAGCCCUCCUCUUCCUCUGCUUUCACCGACGGUGACCUGCUGACCAGCGACGGCCGGCGGUGGCGCGCACGGUGUUGGGACGGUGGUGACAGGUGGUGGGCACGGUGGCGCGCGGUGGAGCUACUAUUUUCCUUGUGUUUUGCUAUUUUAAAAAAAAAUUUAUUUGUUGCCCGAAUCCCCCUCUUUCUCUCAUUUUCUUCUUUUAAAUCCUUCAAUUUUGUCUUAUUCUUUAUUUUCAGGUGGCAGCGGAGGAGGGGGAGCAUGCCCAACAGCCGAUUUGGGGUGUCAGGCGUGGAGAGCGGGGCACGCCCGAAUGCUGACUGGGGGCAUCUUGUCAUGCCCAGAAGGACCAAAUUGUAAAGGGUGCAAAGUUUCUGGGGCAAAAAUGUAAUUUUAGGAAAAUAUGGGGCCAAAAUGUAAUUUAUAGAAAGUUUAGGGGCCCAAAUGAAAAUUUAAGAAAGUUAAAAGGUCAAAAUGUAAAUGUAGGAAAGUUUAGGGUCCAAAAUGCAAUUUUAAAAAGUUAAGGGGUCAAAAAUAAUUUUAAAAA
Long non-coding RNA from Gossypium raimondii (Peruvian cotton), 810 nucleotides. RefSeq lists it as uncharacterized. The transcript is spliced from 2 exons. NCBI's taxonomy places the organism in Eukaryota, Viridiplantae, Streptophyta, Magnoliopsida, Malvales, Malvaceae. The record is from RefSeq and is a predicted model, not a curated record.